GAUGAACGCUGGCGGUGUGCCUAAUACAUGCAAGUCGUACGCAUUCUCGUUUCUGAUUGACGGUGCUUGCACCUAAUUGACGAGACAUUGGAAUGAGUGGCGGACGGGUGAGUAACACGUGGGUAACCUGCCCAGAAGUGGGGGAUAACAUUUGGAAACAGAUGCUAAUACCGCAUAAAAGUCAAAACCACAUGGUUUUGAUUUAAAAGAUGGCCUUUGUGCUAUCACCUCUGGAUGGACCCGCGGCGUAUUAGCUAGUUGGUAAGGUAACGGCUUACCAAGGGAAUGAUACGUAGCCGAACUGAGAGGUUGAUCGGACACAAUGGGACUGAGACACGGCCCAUACUCCUACGGGAGGCAGCAGUAGGGAAUCUUCCACAAUGGGCGCAAGCCUGAUGGAGCAACACCGCGUGAGUGAAGAAGGGUUUCGGCUCGUAAAACUCUGUUGUUAAAGAAGAACGUAUCUAAGAGUAACUGCUUAGGUAGUGACGGUAUUUAACCAGAAAGCCACGGCUAACUACGUGCCAGCCGCCGCGGUAG
Molecule: ribosomal RNA, 540 nt
Filed under: uncultured bacterium
Lineage: Bacteria
Description: partial 16S ribosomal RNA
Rfam family: Bacterial small subunit ribosomal RNA
Source: RNAcentral